GUCAGGCGUGGUGGCGCGUGCCUGUAGUCCCAGCUACUGGGGAGGCUGAGGCUGGCGGAUCUGUUGAGUACAGGAGUUCUGGGCUGUAGUGCGCUAUGCCGAUUGGGUGUCCGCACUAAGUUUGUCAUCAAUAUAGUGAUCUUUGGGAGCGGGGGACCACAAGGAGGGGUGAACCGGCCCAGGUUGGAAAUGGAGCAGGUCAAAACUCCUGUGUUGAUCAGUAGUGGGAUUGCACCUGUGAAUAGGCACUGCACUCCAGCCUGGGCAACAUAGUGAGACCCUGUCUCUU
Unclassified non-coding RNA from Callithrix jacchus (white-tufted-ear marmoset), 289 nucleotides. It matches the Rfam family "Metazoan signal recognition particle RNA". From Rfam's summary of the family: The signal recognition particle (SRP) is a universally conserved ribonucleoprotein. It is involved in the co-translational targeting of proteins to membranes. The record is from Ensembl. NCBI's taxonomy places the organism in Eukaryota, Metazoa, Chordata, Mammalia, Primates, Cebidae.